This 468-nucleotide ribosomal RNA is filed under the name uncultured bacterium. RNAcentral's name for it is "partial 16S ribosomal RNA". It matches the Rfam family "Bacterial small subunit ribosomal RNA", at positions 28 to 507 of the family's 1533-position model. The record is from RNAcentral.
GGCGAACGCUGGCGGCGUGCUUAACACAUGCCAGUCGAACGGAAAGGCCCUGCUUUUGUGGGGUGCUCGAGUGGCGAACGGGUGAGUAACACGUGAGUAACCUGCCCUUGACUUUGGGAUAACUUCAGGAAACUGGGGCUAAUACCGGAUAGGAGCUCCUGCUGCAUGGUGGGGGUUGGAAAGUUUCGGCGGUUGGGGAUGGACUCGCGGCUUAUCAGCUUGUUGGUGGGGUAGGGGCUUACCAAGGCUUUGACGGGUAGCCGGCCUGAGAGGGUGACCGGCCACAUUGGGACUGAGAUACGGCCCAGACUCCUACGGGAGGCAGCAGUGGGGAAUAUUGCACAAUGGGCGGAAGCCUGAUGCAGCAACGCCGCGUGCGGGAUGACGGCCUUCGGGUUGUAAACCGCUUUCGCCUGUGACGAAGCGUGAGUGACGGUAAUGGGUAAAGAAGCACCGGCUAACUACGUG